Molecule: ribosomal RNA, 484 nt
Filed under: uncultured bacterium
Lineage: Bacteria
Description: partial 16S ribosomal RNA
Rfam family: Bacterial small subunit ribosomal RNA
Source: RNAcentral
AUUGAACGCUGGCGGCAGGCCUAACACAUGCCAGUCGAGCGGAUGAAGGGAGCUUGCUCCUGGAUUCAGUGGCGGACGGGUGAGUAAUGCCUAGGAAUCUGCCUGGUAGUGGGGGAUAACGUCCGGAAACGGGCGCUAAUACCGCAUACGUCCUGAGGGAGAAAGUGGGGGAUCUUCGGACCUCACGCUAUCAGAUGAGCCUAGGUCGGAUUAGCUAGUUGGUGGGGUAAAGGCCUACCAAGGCGACGAUCCGUAACUGGUCUGAGAGGAUGAUCAGUCACACUGGAACUGAGACACGGUCCAGACUCCUACGGGAGGCAGCAGUGGGGAAUAUUGGACAAUGGGCGAAAGCCUGAUCCAGCCAUGCCGCGUGUGUGAAGAAGGUCUUCGGAUUGUAAAGCACUUUAAGUUGGUAGGAAGGGCAGUAAGUUAAUACCUUGCUGUUUUGACGUUACCAACAGAAUAAGCACCGGCUAACUUCGUG